This 253-nucleotide ribosomal RNA is filed under the name uncultured bacterium. RNAcentral describes it as "partial 16S ribosomal RNA". It matches the Rfam family "Bacterial small subunit ribosomal RNA", at positions 524 to 776 of the family's 1533-position model. The record is from RNAcentral.
UACGGGGGGGGCAAGCGUUGUUCGGAAUUACUGGGCGUAAAGGGCUCGUAGGCGGCCAACUAAGUCGGAUGUGAAAUCCCCAGGCUCAACCUGGGAACUGCAUCCGAUACUGGAUGGCUUGAAUUCGGGAGAGGGAUGCAGAAUUCCAGGUGUAGCGGUGAAAUGCGUAGAUAUCAGGAGGAACACCUGUGGCGAAAGCGGCGCACUGGACCACAACUGACGCUGAGGCGCGAAAGCUAGGGGAGCAAACAGG